CGCACCAGUCGCGAAACCUCCGCAAUGCGGGAAACCGUGACGGGGCCACCCCGAGUGCCCCGAAGAGGGGCUUUUCCCCGCUGUAAGAAGGCGGGGGAAUAAGCGGGGGGCAAGUCUGGUGUCAGCCGCCGCGGUAAUACCAGCCCCGCGAGUGGUCGGGACGUUUACUGGGCCUAAAGCGCCCGUAGCCGGCCCGGCAAGUCCCCACUGAAAUCCCCGGGCUCAACCCGGGGACGGGUGGGGAUACUGCCGGGCUAGGGGGCGGGAGAGGCCGAGGGUACUCCCGGGGUAGGGGCGAAAUCCGAUAAUCCCGGGAGGACCACCAGUGGCGAAGGCGCUCGGCUGGAACGCGCCCGACGGUGAGGGGCGAAAGCCGGGGGAGCGAACCGGAUUAGAUACCCG
Molecule: ribosomal RNA, 402 nt
Filed under: uncultured archaeon
Lineage: Archaea
Description: bacterial SSU rRNA
Rfam family: Archaeal small subunit ribosomal RNA
Source: RNAcentral